RNAcentral lists this long non-coding RNA (2457 nucleotides) under Vitis vinifera (wine grape). RNAcentral's name for it is "long non-coding RNA (VVIN_LNC001489)". Lineage: Eukaryota; Viridiplantae; Streptophyta; Magnoliopsida; Vitales; Vitaceae. The record is from RNAcentral.
UUUUUUAAAUAAUCAAGGCAACUUUCACAGACAGGCCUUUCUAUGUAAAAACGCCAAACAUGUCUUUAAAGUUGAAAAAACAGUUUUAUAUCAUAAACAACGGCAUUCUUUAGUAACCUUUUUCUUCCAAGUAUGGCUGUGGUGGCAGGUCUCUGAACACAGCUCAAAAUUCCCAGCGAUGAAUAAGCUUCACAGGCUCAACAAAUUUCACCCAAGAAAGCAUUUCACUUCAUCUAUAGGUAACAUGGGUAUCACUUCAAACACUUGAUUUUCUCAGUAGAAUCUCCAAUGAUUUGACUCAUCUCUGGGGGUUUAGAUUUCCCAGGAAGAUCAUUUCUGUCCCAGGAUAACAGCUUCUCCAGUUCGACUGCAGCUUCACCGAACUGCUCCUCCUUAAUGCAAUCCUCAGUACGAAGAGCAAAAAGAACUUCAUUAACGUCUUCCUCAAGCUGGAGGCAAAAUAAGUGGCUGAAGACCUGAAGACAAAAAGUAGAAACCGCAAUCAACACACAGUAACCUUGUUUUAAAAGAAAGCCCCAGGUAGUUCAGUUUAAUUAUUUAUCUAUUCAUUUUGUAAGAUGAUUAGGAAAACCCCGUGAAAAUGGAUUACAAAUAUAUUCUUCAAUAAAUGACAGAACAUAUCAGUUCUCUGUUCUCACCGCUUUCAUCCGUGAGACAACCAUAUUCUUGAUGGCUCGGGAUCUUGAGACCAAAUUAACAACAAAGAGACCUUGAUCAGAAAGAGAGUCCUUUACAGUUAAGAGAAAAGACUCAUCCACAAAGUCUGCAGCAGGGCAUGUCAUCCCAGAACUGUGCUAACAAUAAUAUGAAAAAUUAGAAUAAAAUAAAGGAAUUCGAAACAGGAGCCUGGCUAUUGACCAACAAAUAUAUAGUAACAAACACAUUUAACAAUCACAUGUACCUCGAGUCUGAAGAGUCAACAUCAAUAAUAAGUAUGUCAAACUUGCUNNNNNNNNNNNNNNNNNNNNNNNNNNNNNNNNNNNNNNNNNNNNNNNNNNNNNNNNNNNNNNNNNNNNNNNNNNNNNNNNNNNNNNNNNNNNNNNNNNNNUUUUUUUCCCCAAAUUUUUUAAAAUUUUAGAAAAAGGGUUUUUUUUUUUUUUUUAUAUUUUGCCAAAAAAUUUUUUUUUUUUUUGUAUAGUUUAAAUUUGUGAAAAAAAGACCAUCACCCUAUUUGCCCCCCCCCCCCCCCCCCCCCUCUCUAGGAUGAUUACCAUAGUUUGGAUUAACCUCAAAUUCCUAACAAAUUAUAUUUACGAAAUAACUUUAAUAUGUAUAUUUUUACUUAUUUUAUCAUUUUUAAAGUUUUUCUAAACAUUUUUAUGAAUUUUUAAUAAUUUUCAUCUCACCAAUAUAUUUACCAAAAUAUCCACCGAUAUUUCUGAUAUAUUAAUACAAUCUAAGUAUCGAUAUAUCUGUGUUUACCAAUAUUUCAAAUCUUAGUUCUAUGAGAAGAACCUCCUCCACCUCAACCUACUCUCUCUCAACUUCUACAAAAAAUUAUAAAAAAUGCAUCUUUGCAUCCAAAAAAAUUGUGGAAUAAAAUCUCCAAUAUUUUUCUUAGAGAAUUUUAGCUUCUUCAAACACUAUCACAAAUAACAUAACAACCCUAAUUUCAUCAUUAUUGCAACUCAUGGUACAUAUACACGAACCAACAAACAUCCAUUAUAAGUAAUUUAAAAAAUCACUUAUAACGCUUUCUAGAUAAACACUCGAUAAAUGAUUUAAGAAAAGAAAAAAAUAAAACAAAACUUCCGAACGCACUAAAAAAUACAUGUCCUCAGUCCUCCCAAUAUUUGGGAUAAUAUUUGGGUUUUGGGCUAGUAAUCAGUUGUAAUAUUUAUAUUUUUAAUUUUAUUGAAACAAGAGUAAAGAAGAGGGUAUGGACUCCUUUCAAUCAAAAUAAAAAUAUAUGAAAAUUUUCCAUAAGUAACUUUUCAGUGUUUAAUUCAUGAAGAGACCCUCAAAGUUUUUAAAUGAAUGGGAAAAUAACCUAUGUUUCUAAUUGUCUUGCCUCGCACUCUAUAAAAAAUACCUCAAAUUGGUUUUCAAAAAUCACCCCGCUUUCUAAUAAAUUUUAAAAGAUUAUUUUCUAUGUAAAAAUGCCAAACAUGUCUUUAAAGUUGAAAAACAGUUUUAUAUCAUAAACAACGGCAUUCUUUAGUAACCUUUUUCUUCCAAGUAUGGCUGUGGUGGCAGGUCUCUGAACACAGCUCAAAAUUCCCAGCGAUGAAUAAGCUUCACGGGCUCAACAAAUUUCACCCAAGAAAGCAUUUCACUUCAUCUAUAGGCAACAUGGGUAUCACUUCAAACACUUGAUUUUCUCAGUAGAAUCUCUAAUGAUUUGGCUCAUCUCUGGGGGUUUAGAUUUCUCAGGAAGAUCAUUUCUGUCCCAGGAUAACAGCUUCUCCAGUUCGACUGCAGCUUCACCGAACUGCU